This 2200-nucleotide ribosomal RNA is filed under the name Escherichia coli. RNAcentral describes it as "bacterial LSU rRNA". It matches the Rfam family "Bacterial large subunit ribosomal RNA", at positions 1 to 2228 of the family's 2925-position model. The record is from RNAcentral. Lineage: Bacteria; Pseudomonadati; Pseudomonadota; Gammaproteobacteria; Enterobacterales; Enterobacteriaceae.
UUAAGCGACUAAGCGUACACGGUGGAUGCCCUGGCAGUCAGAGGCGAUGAAGGACGUGCUAAUCUGCGAUAAGCGUCGGUAAGGUGAUAUGAACCGUUAUAACCGGCGAUUUCCGAAUGGGGAAACCCAGUGUGAUUCGUCACACUAUCAUUAACUGAAUCCAUAGGUUAAUGAGGCGAACCGGGGGAACUGAAACAUCUAAGUACCCCGAGGAAAAGAAAUCAACCGAGAUUCCCCCAGUAGCGGCGAGCGAACGGGGAGCAGCCCAGAGCCUGAAUCAGUGUGUGUGUUAGUGGAAGCGUCUGGAAAGGCGCGCGAUACAGGGUGACAGCCCCGUACACAAAAAUGCACAUGCUGUGAGCUCGAUGAGUAGGGCGGGACACGUGGUAUCCUGUCUGAAUAUGGGGGGACCAUCCUCCAAGGCUAAAUACUCCUGACUGACCGAUAGUGAACCAGUACCGUGAGGGAAAGGCGAAAAGAACCCCGGCGAGGGGAGUGAAAAAGAACCUGAAACCGUGUACGUACAAGCAGUGGGAGCACGCUUAGGCGUGUGACUGCGUACCUUUUGUAUAAUGGGUCAGCGACUUAUAUUCUGUAGCAAGGUUAACCGAAUAGGGGAGCCGAAGGGAAACCGAGUCUUAACUGGGCGUUAAGUUGCAGGGUAUAGACCCGAAACCCGGUGAUCUAGCCAUGGGCAGGUUGAAGGUUGGGUAACACUAACUGGAGGACCGAACCGACUAAUGUUGAAAAAUUAGCGGAUGACUUGUGGCUGGGGGUGAAAGGCCAAUCAAACCGGGAGAUAGCUGGUUCUCCCCGAAAGCUAUUUAGGUAGCGCCUCGUGAAUUCAUCUCCGGGGGUAGAGCACUGUUUCGGCAAGGGGGUCAUCCCGACUUACCAACCCGAUGCAAACUGCGAAUACCGGAGAAUGUUAUCACGGGAGACACACGGCGGGUGCUAACGUCCGUCGUGAAGAGGGAAACAACCCAGACCGCCAGCUAAGGUCCCAAAGUCAUGGUUAAGUGGGAAACGAUGUGGGAAGGCCCAGACAGCCAGGAUGUUGGCUUAGAAGCAGCCAUCAUUUAAAGAAAGCGUAAUAGCUCACUGGUCGAGUCGGCCUGCGCGGAAGAUGUAACGGGGCUAAACCAUGCACCGAAGCUGCGGCAGCGACGCUUAUGCGUUGUUGGGUAGGGGAGCGUUCUGUAAGCCUGCGAAGGUGUGCUGUGAGGCAUGCUGGAGGUAUCAGAAGUGCGAAUGCUGACAUAAGUAACGAUAAAGCGGGUGAAAAGCCCGCUCGCCGGAAGACCAAGGGUUCCUGUCCAACGUUAAUCGGGGCAGGGUGAGUCGACCCCUAAGGCGAGGCCGAAAGGCGUAGUCGAUGGGAAACAGGUUAAUAUUCCUGUACUUGGUGUUACUGCGAAGGGGGGACGGAGAAGGCUAUGUUGGCCGGGCGACGGUUGUCCCGGUUUAAGCGUGUAGGCUGGUUUUCCAGGCAAAUCCGGAAAAUCAAGGCUGAGGCGUGAUGACGAGGCACUACGGUGCUGAAGCAACAAAUGCCCUGCUUCCAGGAAAAGCCUCUAAGCAUCAGGUAACAUCAAAUCGUACCCCAAACCGACACAGGUGGUCAGGUAGAGAAUACCAAGGCGCUUGAGAGAACUCGGGUGAAGGAACUAGGCAAAAUGGUGCCGUAACUUCGGGAGAAGGCACGCUGAUAUGUAGGUGAAGUGAUUUACUCAUGGAGCUGAAAUCAGUCGAAGAUACCAGCUGGCUGCAACUGUUUAUUAAAAACACAGCACUGUGCAAACACGAAAGUGGACGUAUACGGUGUGACGCCUGCCCGGUGCCGGAAGGUUAAUUGAUGGGGUCAGCGCAAGCGAAGCUCUUGAUCGAAGCCCCGGUAAACGGCGGCCGUAACUAUAACGGUCCUAAGGUAGCGAAAUUCCUUGUCGGGUAAGUUCCGACCUGCACGAAUGGCGUAAUGAUGGCCAGGCUGUCUCCACCCGAGACUCAGUGAAAUUGAACUCGCUGUGAAGAUGCAGUGUACCCGCGGCAAGACGGAAAGACCCCGUGAACCUUUACUAUAGCUUGACACUGAACAUUGAGCCUUGAUGUGUAGGAUAGGUGGGAGGCUUUGAAGUGUGGACGCCAGUCUGCAUGGAGCCGACCUUGAAAUACCACCCUUUAAUGUUUGAUGUUCUAACGU